RNAcentral lists this ribosomal RNA (498 nucleotides) under uncultured bacterium. RNAcentral's name for it is "partial 16S ribosomal RNA". It matches the Rfam family "Bacterial small subunit ribosomal RNA", at positions 30 to 523 of the family's 1533-position model. The record is from RNAcentral.
AUUGAACGCUGGCGGCAUGCUUUACACAUGCAAGUCGAACGGUAACAGGCAGCCAGGUGCUGACGAGUGGCGAACGGGUGCGUAAUGCAUCGGCACGUCCCCAGUCGUGAGGGAUAACGCAUCGAAAGCUGUGCUAAUACCGCAUACGAUCUAUUGCUGAAAGCGGGGGACCGUAAGGCCUCGCGCGAUUGGAGCGGCCGAUGUCAGGUUAGGUAGUUGGUGGGGUAAAGGCUCACCAAGCCAAGGAUCUGUAGCUGGUCUGAGAGGACGAACAGCCACACUGGGACUGAGACACGGCCCAGACUCCUACGGGAGGCAGCAGUGGGGAAUUUUGGACAAUGGGCGAAAGCCUGAUCCAGCAAUGCCGCGUGCAGGAAGAAGGCCUUCGGGUUGUAAACUGCUUUUGUACGGAACGAAAAGGUUUGGGUUAAUACCCUGGGCCGAUGACGGUACCGUAAGAAUAAGCACCGGCUAACUACGUGCCAGCAGCCGCCGUAA